UCGACUGAAACUGUUGUUUCAUUUACAAAUGAUAAGUUAACCGUAUUAUCUUCUAGCUUUACAGUAUGGACACACUGGUCAAAAAGAAUUGGAAGUGGAGAAGGUGUUGAAGCAAGGGAGUUUAGCAUAUCCGCCAUUCCAUGUUUGAAGGAAUAUGAAGCGACAUUUUCACCUAAUAAUAAAUUCAGGUUUGGAAUGCUUCCCGGAUAAACAUUUUCAAGAGAAACAGAGAGUGAUUGUGAAAGGUAUUCCUUAAACCAUUCAAAAAUUUUUAAAUCUAAAACAGUAAGAUGCAAUAAAGAAGUGAGGGUGUUAGCCGAAUUACCAAGAAAUUCAGACAAAGUGUCCUUUAUUUGUAAAGGAAAGGCUUCAAUUGAAAUAUACCAACCAAUUUGGUCAAGCUUUUGAAUGAAUUCUUGCUCAGGAGGAGUAAUCAACGAAUGAAGGGGCUGUUUACUAGCUGAAGCAUUGAAAUA
Non-coding RNA from Schizosaccharomyces pombe (fission yeast), 476 nucleotides. The record is from the annotation of a GenBank genome assembly. NCBI's taxonomy places the organism in Eukaryota, Fungi, Ascomycota, Schizosaccharomycetes, Schizosaccharomycetales, Schizosaccharomycetaceae.